CCUGCCCUCCUGGCUCCGCUGCCGAGGGUCACGUGGCAGCUGCUCCACCAGGAGGUCUAUGAAUGAGCGCUUGCUCCCAGCUCCCAAGAUGCUUCCAGUCUUUUCCUUCCUGGUUGUGGAUGCAGAGCUGGAAACCGGAAAUUCCCUCUGUUGUAAGUCCCCUUCCCUAGGAGCUGGCCUCACUGGAGCUUGACAAGAGUUCGAGCCGGGAGUUCUGAGAGCAAGAGGAGACACUAAAGAGAGAAGUGACUUUCUCGUUACUUGCCCCGGCUCAUCCAUCUUUUCUGCACCUCAGCCCUCAGUGGCCCUUGUUCUUGCCUUCAGAUGAGGAUGUAGAACUCUCAGUUCCUCCUGCACCAUGCCUGCCUGGAUGCUGCCAUGUUCCUGCCUUGAUGAUAAUGGACUGACCCUCUGAACCUGGCUGAGUCACUGGAGCAUCUAUCUGCACGCUGGUGCGGUUUCGACUUUCGCCCAAGUGCAUAGUG
This 485-nucleotide long non-coding RNA is filed under the name Mus pahari (shrew mouse). Its description in RNAcentral is "lncRNA (MGP_PahariEiJ_G0012329.1)". The record is from RNAcentral. Lineage: Eukaryota; Metazoa; Chordata; Mammalia; Rodentia; Muridae.